GAUGAAGAACGCAGCGAAAUGCGAUACUUGGUGUGAAUUGCAGAAUCCCGUGAACCAUCGAGUCUUUGAACGCAAGUUGCGCCCGAAGCCAUCAGGUUGAGGGCACGUCUGCCUGGGCGUCACAUAUCGUUGCUCGAUGCCUAUCGCAUUGCGAUAGGACUUAGGGCGAAUGAUGGCUUCCCGUGAGCGUUGUUGCCUCGCGGUUGGUUGAAAAUCGAGUCCUUGGUAGGGUGUGCCAUGAUAGAUGGUGGUCGAGUGAGCACGAGACCGAUCAUGUGCAUGCUCCCCAAAAUAUGGCCUCUGUGACCCACACGCGUCUUUUGACGCUCAUGACGAGACCUCAGGUCAGGCGGGGCUACCCGCUGAAUUUAAGCAUAUCAAUAAGCGGAGGAA
Molecule: unclassified non-coding RNA, 393 nt
Filed under: soil metagenome
Description: partial contains 5.8S ribosomal RNA, internal transcribed spacer 2, and large subunit ribosomal RNA
Rfam family: 5.8S ribosomal RNA (bases 1-122)
Source: RNAcentral